GACGAACGCUGGCGGCGUGCUUAACACAUGCAAGUCGAACGGAAAGGCCCUGCUUUUGUGGGGUGCUCGAGUGGCGAACGGGUGAGUAACACGUGAGUAACCUGCCCUUGACUUUGGGAUAACGUCAGGAAACUGGGGCUAAUACCGGAUAGGAGCUCCUGCUGCAUGGUGGGGGUGGGAAAGUUUCGGCGGUUGGGGAUGGACUCGCGGCUUAUGAGCUUGUUGGUGGGGUCGUGGCUUACCAAGGCUUUGAAGGGUAGCCGGCCUGAGAGGGUGACCGGGCAAAUUGGGACUGACAUACGGCCGAGAGCCGUACGGGAGGCAGCAGUGGGGACGAUUGCAUAAUGGGCGGAAGCCUGAUGCAGCAACGCCGCGUGAGGGAUGACGGCCUUCGGGUUGUAAACCGCUUUCGCCUGUGCCGAAGCGUGAGUGACGGUAAUGGGUAAAGAAGCACCGGCUAACUCCGUG
RNAcentral lists this ribosomal RNA (468 nucleotides) under uncultured bacterium. Its description in RNAcentral is "partial 16S ribosomal RNA". It matches the Rfam family "Bacterial small subunit ribosomal RNA", at positions 28 to 507 of the family's 1533-position model. The record is from RNAcentral.